CUACCAUCCUCAGAUGUUACCCUCAUUUACAUAUAAAUCGACGAAAUCAGAGUAUAAUACCUAUAAAUCAGAGUAUAAUACCUAUAAAUCCUUAACCUUUCCACCUCCUACUUCACAAUCGAUCUCUGUGAGAGAGAGAGAGAAGAAAAGAAGAAGAAGUGAAAACCGACAAGGAGAAAAGGAGACACCGGCGACGAUUCCGGUCACGGAUGCGGGGGUUGUUCUGGUCGAGAGCCCAGACUUCAAGUGGCAUGAUUUCACAAAUCAUUUUUCACUUCAACUUGUUCACCAAGCCACAGAUUUCUCACCUAGGGUUCGUACAAAUCCUCAAAUUGUGUCCAAUUUUCAACGAUUCCGUUUUUCUAGCACUACAAUUGAAUCCGAAAUGGGAGUGUGGAGAAGCAGAUGAUGCUUAACAGUGAUGUCUGCGGACCGAAAAAAGGCAGCGAUUGAUAUUUUUCAGCUUUGCUUCGAGAAUCGUGUGUGGAAGACACAAAAUGAUCAUAUUGUUGUGUUGUCUAGGCGGCAUGGUCAGUUGAAGCAGUUGUUUUAUCAAUCUUGUUGAUCCGGCCAUCGAUUUGUAAAGGAGAAGUGAUGGACUAAAAUGUAAUUUUACUACGUGUGCAAAUUUAGAAGCAUAAUGUACAAAGAACACAAGCCAUUUUACUACGAUAGCAAUGGUAGGUAGUGGAAAAAUCGAAGCCUCACCAGUGGCGGCUUUAGGGUUCCUUCAUGAGUCAGUCGGGGGCGGUUAGGAUUCCGGCAGAGGAAUCCUCAGAUGGUGAAGUUGAGGUUUGGUAGUGACUAUGGUGGUGAUUACAGGACUUUUUUUGUUACGAUGACAACGAUUCAAUGUCGGUUGAAGAAGAUCUGACGGUGGUGUGAAGGUUGUGGUCAUUUAUCUCAUUUGUGCAUCAGGGUUUGUGUUUUAGAACAGCUGAACAGGGGAAUUGGAUAUCGUUUUAUGCGUGUGUGAAUAUUCAUUUUUUAUUCAAAUAAGUUAUAUUAGGAUCCUAAGAUUAUUGUUUUCAUGAUAUUGUUUUUAUGAAUGAUCAAGAAGGUGAAACGUUGCAUUCAUGAUCCCGGCACGCCGAGAUAGAGGGUUGCAGGUCACCAUUGCACCAGGAACCGCCAUUUGCAGUCACACCACCGAUAUUGGUUUUAGAAGAUGCUUUCUUACGGUUAAAAGAAAGUGGAACUGGUCCAAACUUGGAAGGUUUGUUAAUCUCUUUUAUAAAAAGGGUAUACAAAUAAGGAUUGCCAAUGGAUCAAUGGAAUGCAAGACUGAAGCCUGAUUUCUUUCUUCACAUAAAGACUAGGUCAAUAAGGCUGAUUGCGGCAGUAGUAACGUUUUCCGAUGCCAUAUGGUGUAGAAUAGGGGCCUAUAAAGGUAACUUGAUGUUCUUUAAUUCCAUUAAACUCAUGUUGUUCUUUAAUUCAGCUAUAAUUGUCAGUUAAUUUACUGUGAAGAUCGACAGGCCAGACAGGUCGAGUAAAGGGUCAUAUUUAAGUGCAGAAAAUGGUGGAGUCGGUUUGUAAUUCAUCUUGGUUUCAAUUAUUUUACCUGAUAUUAUAUGCAGUUUAUGAUUUCUUUUUUCUUUUUUUUUGUUUUAAAUUAAGUGCAGGAAAUGGUGGAGCGGUGCUGGGUCGAUUAAGGCGCACGUGGUUGGUUCCGAUGACCAUUCGCCGAAAAACGCCCAUUUCAACAGAAACAUCAAUAGGUUCAAAGUGACUAUGGUGAGGGUUUCGGGUGAUCAACCAACAUUUCAGUAAAAAAGAUUUAACUCGGGUCAGCGGACGGUCAUCAGGAAUGUAUAAAUGUACACUCAAGUCGUUUUGAUAAUUUAAUAUAAUUAUCAUCAACCUCUGUUCAACGAGGUGCGUUAAGGUUGUACACUGUUGAAGCCGAGAGAAAAGGGAAAGGCUAUAGCUGAUACAGGCGUUAUUCAGGUUAGUUUAUCGGGUUUUUAUGGUUAAUCAGGUUUCUAAAAUUUAGUAUUAAAAUCCAGUACUGGCCCCGUAUGUUUAUUCAGUUACUCAAGUUCAGGUUUUUCAGCUUUCAGGUUAAACGGGUCGAAAUAAUAAGCAUGUAUACUUGAAAUAACAAGUCAGAAUAGGUUUGGCUUGGCUGACCCGUCAAAUUUUCAAAACCGUCACCAGAGAACUCAUGUGCUGCCAAUACCAUGCUAACCAACACUUUCACUGAGCACCACUAUGUUCAACAGAAGUAUAUCAACUGUAUUGCUUUAUUUGUUUUUGAAUUCUCAAAAUAUGUUUAUUCGCAGAGUUGAUGAUAUGCAUAAGUUUUCGGGUAGGAUAAAGAGGUGCACUAAUUGUCACAAAUUUAUUAUGCUUAAUUUUGUAUAUUUUGUUGCAUUAAGUUAUUAUUUGUAUGAUAUAACGUCAAGCCACACUCCAAUUUUUUAAUUUUUUUUUAUCACAGACUGAAGCUGCAGCAAAGAGGGCACUAGCUUGAUGGGUCGGAUAUAAAAUGGAGUAAUAAUGACAUGGGGAUGGGGCGAACACGGUCAGCUUGGUUUAGAAGAUACAUGUGAUCACACUUGUCCUCAGGUUUCAGUUCAUGCAUUAAAGAAUGAACACAGUUCUUAAACCGAGACCAACUUAAACCGAUGAUUUCUCUUUCUUUUGAUCGAGUUUCUAGGGGAAAUCUCUUAUAUAUCUCUUACCGAUUUGAUGAGAUGUGGGUUUGACUUGAAUAAAACUCUAUAUAUGUUAUUUUUUAUGAUUGACUUUUA
RNA transcript from Helianthus annuus (common sunflower), 2756 nucleotides. RefSeq lists it as uncharacterized. The transcript has 8 exons. NCBI's taxonomy places the organism in Eukaryota, Viridiplantae, Streptophyta, Magnoliopsida, Asterales, Asteraceae. The record is from RefSeq and is a predicted model, not a curated record.